UAAGAUACCUUGUAAGGAAAGAGAGAAGAGAGCUAUGUUGGAUGUGACCUACGUGAUAUAUUCAAGAUGAUCCAUAAAGAUACGGUCAAUUUAUUUAAAUCGAUCUAUAAAGAUAUUUUAGAUCUUACGAUUAGGAUGUAUCUGGACACGUCCUUGAUGGACGGACGUGAUUUAACAUCUUUACAUUAAGUUAUAUAUAAAUAUGUAACAUACGAGAGUUCUGGUCUAACCCUAAUCCAAUUUGUCUGUGACGGCUCUAUCUCCGGAGAUAAGGGAAUUAGAUUCGAAACGUCUCGUCUUCUUGCAGAUCACGAACAAGGACGAACCACGAGUAAGGAUCGCCGUUUACAAAUCGGGUACAGAAAUCGAAAUCAUGACAGAAAGUACGAUCUAGUUUCUCAUAAAGUUUCUAACAAG
RNAcentral lists this long non-coding RNA (417 nucleotides) under Ananas comosus (pineapple). Its description in RNAcentral is "long non-coding RNA (ACOM_LNC041701)". Lineage: Eukaryota; Viridiplantae; Streptophyta; Magnoliopsida; Poales; Bromeliaceae. The record is from RNAcentral.